Molecule: ribosomal RNA, 1445 nt
Filed under: uncultured bacterium
Lineage: Bacteria
Description: bacterial SSU rRNA
Rfam family: Bacterial small subunit ribosomal RNA
Source: RNAcentral
GGGAUGCCGGCUGCUUCACCAUGCAAGUCUGACGGAAACGAUACUAGCUUGCUAGUAGGCGUCGAGUGGCGGACGGGUGAGUAACGCGUAGGAAUCUGCCUGAUAGUGGGGGAUAGCCCGGAGAAAUUCGGAUUAAUACCGCAUAAUCUAUUCGUAGUAAAGUGGGGGACUUUCGAGCCUCACGCUAUCAGAUGAGCCUGCGUAAGAUUAGCUAGUUGGUAGGGUAAAAGCCUACCAAGGCGACGAUCUUUAGCUGGUCUGAGAGGAUGAUCAGCCACAUCGGGACUGAGACACGGCCCGAACUCCUACGGGAGGCAGCAGCGGGGAAUAUUGGACAAUGGGGGCAACCCUGAUCCAGCAAUACCGCGUGUGUGAAGAAGGCCUGAGGGUUGUAAAGCACUUUCAAUUGUGAAGAAAAGUUAGCGGUUAAUAACCGUUAGCCUUGACGUUAACUUUAGAAGAAGCACCGGCUAACUCCGUGCCAGCAGCCGCGGUAAUACGGAGGGUGCAAGCGUUAAUCGGAAUUACUGGGCGUAAAGCGUGCGUAGGCGGUUUAUUAAGUCAGAUGUGAAAGCCCCGGGCUUAACCUGGGAACUGCAUUUGAAACUGGUAAACUAGAGUAUGGUAGAGGAAAGUGGAAUUUCUGGUGUAGCGGUGAAAUGCGUAGAUAUCAGAAGGAACAUCAAUGGCGAAGGCAGCUUUCUGGACCAAUACUGACGCUGAGGUACGAAAGCGUGGGUAGCAAACAGGAUUAGAUACCCUGGUAGUCCACGCCGUAAACGAUGAUAACUAGCCGUUGGGGGGAUUUACCCUUUAGUGGCGAAGCUAACGCGUUAAGUUAUCCGCCUGGGGAGUACGGCCGCAAGGUUAAAACUCAAAGGAAUUGACGGGGACCCGCACAAGCGGUGGAGCAUGUGGUUUAAUUCGAUGCAACGCGAAGAACCUUACCUGGUCUUGACAUCCUGCGAACUUUCUAGAAAUAGAUUGGUGCCUUCGGGAACGCAGUGACAGGUGCUGCAUGGCUGUCGUCAGCUCGUGUCGUGAGAUGUUGGGUUAAGUCCCGUAACGAGCGCAACCCCUAUCCUUAUUUGCCAGCACAUCAUGGUGGGAACUAUAAGGAGACUGCCGGUGAUAAACCGGAGGAAGGCGGGGACGACGUCAAGUCAUCAUGGCCCUUACGACCAGGGCUACACACGUGCUACAAUGGGAAGGACAAAGAGCCGCGAAGCCGCGAGGUGUAGCUAAUCUCAUAAACCUUUUCGUAGUCCGGAUUGGAGUCUGCAACUCGACUCCAUGAAGUCGGAAUCGCUAGUAAUCGUAGAUCAGAAUGCUACGGUGAAUACGUUCCCGGGUCUUGUACACACCGCCCGUCAUACCAUGGGAGUGGGUUGCACCANGAAGUGGCUAGUCUAACUUAGUGAGGACGGUCACGCAGCGGUGGAUUA